RNAcentral lists this long non-coding RNA (277 nucleotides) under Panax ginseng (ginseng). Its description in RNAcentral is "long non-coding RNA (PGIN_LNC018013)". The record is from RNAcentral. Lineage: Eukaryota; Viridiplantae; Streptophyta; Magnoliopsida; Apiales; Araliaceae.
UCGUAUUUUACAAAGAGGUGUAUAUGCUAGUAUAUACACAUUCUCACUCCCCUAUCUCUUUCGGUUUAUUUAGACCAAUUCUUUAUCAUAUUUGACACGGCGUCUAAUUAUUUAUCAUUUUUGACACGGCGUCUAAUUCUUUAUUAUUUUUUAUUCUUAUCUUUAGUUUCUUUGUUUAUAUUACUCCUGCUCACUAAUAAAUGAGUAUAUUAUGGUGACAAAAAAUAAUUUAUAAAAUGAUAUAAUAAUGUAUAAUUAAUUGAUGAUUCAGAUUAGG